CCUACGGGUGGCUGCAGUGGGGAAUAUUGGGCAAUGGGGGCAACCCUGAUCCAGCCAUGCCGCGUGUGUGAAGAAGGCCCUCGGGUUGUAAAGCACUUUCAGUGAGGAAGAACGCCUGGUGGUUAAUACCCAUCAGGAAAGACAUCACUCACAGAAGAAGCACCGGCUAACUCCGUGCCAGCAGCCGCGGUAAUACGGAGGGUGCGAGCGUUAAUCGGAAUUACUGGGUGUAAAGCGCGCGUAGGUGGCUUGAUAAGCCGGUUGUGAAAGCCCCGGGCUCAACCUGGGAACGGCAUCCGGAACUGUCAAGCUAGAGUGCAGGAGAGGAAGGUAGAAUUCCAGGUGUAGCGGUGAAAUGCGUAGAGAUCGGGAGGAAUACCAGUGGCGAAGGCGGCCUUCUGGACUGACAAUGACACGGAGGUGCGAAAGCGUGGGUAGCAAACAGGAUUAGAUACCCCGGUAGUC
RNAcentral lists this ribosomal RNA (465 nucleotides) under Vreelandella stevensii. RNAcentral describes it as "partial 16S ribosomal RNA". It matches the Rfam family "Bacterial small subunit ribosomal RNA", at positions 338 to 795 of the family's 1533-position model. The record is from RNAcentral. Lineage: Bacteria; Pseudomonadati; Pseudomonadota; Gammaproteobacteria; Oceanospirillales; Halomonadaceae.